AUUGAACGCUGGCGGCAUGCUUUACACAUGCAAGUCGAACGGUAACAGGCCUUCGGGUGCUGACGAGUGGCGAACGGGUGAGUAAUGCAUCGGAACGUACCCAGAGGUGGGGGAUAACGCAGCGAAAGCUGUGCUAAUACCGCAUGUGAUCUGAGGAUGAAAGCGGGGGACCGAGCAGCAAUGUUUGGCCUCGCGCCUUUGGAGCGGCCGAUGUCGGAUUAGCUAGUUGGUGGGGUAAAGGCCUACCAAGGCGACGAUCCGUAGCUGGUCUGAGAGGACGACCAGCCACACUGGGACUGAGACACGGCCCAGACUCCUACGGGAGGCAGCAGUGGGGAAUUUUGGACAAUGGGCGCAAGCCUGAUCCAGCAAUGCCGCGUGCGGGAAGAAGGCCUUCGGGUUGUAAACCACUUUUGGCAGGAACGAAACGGUGUCCGCUAAUACCGGGCGCUAAUGACGGUACCUGCAGAAUAAGCACCGGCUAACUACGUG
Molecule: ribosomal RNA, 492 nt
Filed under: uncultured bacterium
Lineage: Bacteria
Description: partial 16S ribosomal RNA
Rfam family: Bacterial small subunit ribosomal RNA
Source: RNAcentral